RNAcentral lists this transfer RNA (84 nucleotides) under Streptomyces avidinii. Its description in RNAcentral is "tRNA-Val". Lineage: Bacteria; Bacillati; Actinomycetota; Actinomycetes; Kitasatosporales; Streptomycetaceae. The record is from RNAcentral.
GGCGGGGUCGGCCGGCAGGACGCGCCGGGCCCACAGCCCGGCGAGCAGGGCGGCGCCGGCGCCGGUCCAGACGGCGCCCCGCCA